UACGUAGGGGGCGAGCGUUGUCCGGAUUUACUGGGCGUAAAGCGCGUGUAGGCGGCUAGGCAAGUCGGGUGUGAAAGCCCUCAGCUCAACUGAGGAAGUGCGCCCGAAACUGCUUUGCUUGAGUGCUGGAGAGGGUCGCGGAAUUCCCGAAGUAGAGGUGAAAUUCGUAGAUAUCGGGAGGAACACCGGUGGCGAAGGCGGCGACCUGGACAGUAACUGACGCUGAGACGCGAAAGCGUGGGUAGCAAACAGG
Molecule: ribosomal RNA, 253 nt
Filed under: uncultured bacterium
Lineage: Bacteria
Description: partial 16S ribosomal RNA
Rfam family: Bacterial small subunit ribosomal RNA
Source: RNAcentral